Non-coding RNA from Catenulispora acidiphila DSM 44928, 383 nucleotides. It matches the Rfam family "Bacterial RNase P class A". From Rfam's summary of the family: Ribonuclease P (RNase P) is a ubiquitous endoribonuclease, found in archaea, bacteria and eukarya as well as chloroplasts and mitochondria. Lineage: Bacteria; Bacillati; Actinomycetota; Actinomycetes; Catenulisporales; Catenulisporaceae. The record is from Rfam.
CGAGUCGGCGAGGCGAUCGCGGCAGCGGGCGACCGGUGUCGAGGAAAGUCCGGACUCCAUAGGACAGGGUGGUUGGCAACACCAACCCGGGGUGACCCGCGGGACAGUGCCACAGAGAAAAGACCGCCCGCCGUCAGGCGGGUAAGGGUGAAACGGUGAGGUAAGAGCUCACCAGCGCCCGGGGUGACCCGGGCGGCUAGGUAAACCCCACCCGGAGCAAGGUCAAGAGGGCCUGGGAGACCAGGUCUGCGCAGGCGUUCGAGGGCUGUCCGCCCGAGCCUGCGGGUAGACCGCACGAGGCACGCGGCGACGCGUGCCCUAGAUGGAUGGUCGCCACUGCGCUUCGGCGCAGGACAGAAUCCGGCUUAGGACCGGCUCGCCGC